RNAcentral lists this ribosomal RNA (465 nucleotides) under Triticum aestivum (bread wheat). RNAcentral describes it as "partial small subunit ribosomal RNA". Lineage: Eukaryota; Viridiplantae; Streptophyta; Magnoliopsida; Poales; Poaceae. The record is from RNAcentral.
AUGAAUGGUAUCUUUUGGAAUUGCAGGGGAGCAGGCAAAAAAGGAAUGAGUGCCUGCUUCUCUGACAUGAUAAAAGAUCAUUCCCUAGAUUUCCUUUGUCUUCAAGAGACUAUGAAGAAGAAUUUCCUUCCUAAGAGUAUCAGGAAAAUAGACCCCGCGAAUCAAUUUGAUUGGAAUUGGAUUCCUUCGAUUGGAAAAGCGGGGGGAAUCCUCUGUGGUUUUAAGAAAGAAUCCUUAGAAGUUAUUUCGUGGACUCCUGGUAGGUUUUGUUUGCAGGCCAACCUUUACGAUAUUAAGCAUAAGAUUGUCUGGGCUCUCAUUACGGUGUAUGGAGCAGCCCAUGAUGAUAGUAAAGACGACUUCCUGGUUGAAUUAGCCGCGAUGUGUGCGUAUACACAGGUCCCAUACAUUGUGGGGGGGAUUUUAAUAUCCUCAGAGAAGCUGGUGAUAAAAAUAAACCCUUAA